Molecule: unclassified non-coding RNA, 1089 nt
Filed under: Zea mays
Lineage: Eukaryota; Viridiplantae; Streptophyta; Magnoliopsida; Poales; Poaceae
Description: misc RNA Zm00001eb115860
Source: RNAcentral
GUUUCUAACUAUUUAUUAGGACGAGCAGAGGAUCCAUCAACUCAGCUUUGCAGAGAAGCAGCCAAGCAAGAGCCUUUCCGAGUGUGUGGAGCAGCAGCAGCAGCAGCCGUAAGGCUCUUCGGAAAGGUGGCGAUCGUCACGGGCGCCGCCAGCAAACUGGGCGAGGCCAUCGCGAGGAAGUUCGUCGACAACGGCGCCAAGGUCAUCCUCGCCGACAUCAACCGCCACUCCUGCGAGAACAUAGUAGCGGCUCUCAACAAGACCAACCAUGGCCCCGCGGUGGCUCACGCGAUGCGCAUCGACGUCAGCGAACCCGACAGUAUCCUGGCCACCGUCGAGGAGGCGAAGAAGGUCUACAAGCAAGAUGUCGACAUCUUCUACAACAACGCGGGGGUCAGCAACGUCUCCUCCCCGGCCUCCUCCAUCGACAUGAUGAGCUUCAGGAACACCAUGGCGGUCAACGUCGAGUCCGUCAUAGCCAGCAUCAACCACGCCGGCGCCGUGAUGCGCAGCAACAAGAUCGGCGGCGGGUGCAUCCUGUGCACGGGCAGCCCCGUGGGCUCGCUCGGCGACGUGGUGCCCUCGGCGUACAGCAUCUCCAAGGCCGCGGUCGUGGGCGUCGUGCGCGCCGCCGCGGCCGAGCUGGGGGGACACGGCGUGAGGGUCAAUGCCAUCUCGCCGUACGGCGUCGCCGCCAGGUUUGACAAGGGCGUGCUGAGGCACAUCUUCCCUCACGCGACUGACCAGCAGCUGGAUACUAUGAUCAGCAGCUACGGCACCUACACGGUGACCGAGGACGACGUGGCCAACGCGGCGGUGUACCUGGCGUCCGACGCUGGCAAGAACAUCAAUGGCCAAAACAUCGUCCUCAAUGGCAAGUUCGGUCUUUAGAAGUGUGGCCGCCAACGGUUCUGUUGGGGCUCAUUAGCGGCAACUUCACACACCCUGGGCGACUUCCAUUCAUGCCCCGUUGUUUCCUGAAUAAAUAGUGUGGCUGUCAGUGAGCCACGUAACGUGUGUUUCCAUUUCUCUUUUUAUUUGCGAAAUUUCGAUGUUUCAAAGUUUGGCAACAAGAUGUACUUCAAAUCC